GAUGAACGCUGGCGGCGUGCCUAAUACAUGCAAGUCGAGCGAACGGACGAGAAGCUUGCUUCUCUGAUGUUAGCGGCGGACGGGUGAGUAACACGUGGAUAACCUACCUAUAAGACUGGGAUAACUUCGGGAAACCGGAGCUAAUACCGUAUAAUAUUUUGAACCGCAGGGUGGAAAAGUGAAAGACGGUCUUGCUGGCACUUAUAGAUGGAUCCGCGCUGGAUUAGCUAGUUGGUAAGGUAACGGCUUACGAAGGCAACGAUGCAUAGCCGACCUGAGAGGGUGAUCGGCCACCCUGGAGCUGAGACACGGUCCUGACUCCUACGGGAGGCAGCAGUAGGGAAUCUUCCGCAAUGGGCGAAAGCCUGACGGAGCAACGCCGCGUGAGUGAUGAAGGUCUUCGGAUCGUAAAACUCUGUUAUUAGGGAAGAACAUAUGUGUAAGUAACUGUGCACAUCUUGACGGUACCUAAUCAGGAAGCCACGGCUAACUACGUG
Molecule: ribosomal RNA, 497 nt
Filed under: uncultured bacterium
Lineage: Bacteria
Description: partial 16S ribosomal RNA
Rfam family: Bacterial small subunit ribosomal RNA
Source: RNAcentral